GGGCCCGCACAAGCGGAGGAACAUGUGGUUUAAUUCGAUGAUACGCGAGGAACCUUACCCGGGCUUGAAAUGCAUCUGACAGGAGCAGAGACGCUCUCUCCCUUCGGGGCAGAUGUGUAGGUGCUGCAUGGUUGUCGUCAGCUCGUGCCGUGAGGUGUCGGCUUAAGUGCCAUAACGAGCGCAACCCUCAUCAUUAGUUACCAUCAGGUUAAGCUGGGGACUCUAAUGAGACUGCCAUCGUAAGAUGUGAGGAAGGUGGGGAUGACGUCAAAUCAGCACGGCCCUUACGUCCGGGGCGACACACGUGUUACAAUGGAUGGUACAAAGGGCAGCUACAUGGCGACAUGAUGCUAAUCUCCAAAACCAUUCUCAGUUCGGAUCGAAGUCUGCAACUCGACUUCGUGAAGCUGGAUUCGCUAGUAAUCGCGCAUCAGCCACGGCGCGGUGAAUACGUUCCCGGGCCUU
RNAcentral lists this ribosomal RNA (465 nucleotides) under uncultured bacterium. RNAcentral's name for it is "bacterial SSU rRNA". It matches the Rfam family "Bacterial small subunit ribosomal RNA", at positions 917 to 1382 of the family's 1533-position model. The record is from RNAcentral.